GCAAAGAGUGCCAAAGAUGAGCCUGAGUGAGAACAUGAGGGUGAAGCUGAAGAAGCGCGUGGACGUGGCCCUUCCCGCACCAGCCAUCAGCAGUGGCAAAUGUCAUCGAAUAAGUGGAACAGGCCUCGGGGACCACGAGGGCCGCAUCCGGGCACCGCACACAUCAUGUCACAGACACUGCAGGCUGGGCCGGUCGUCGGCCCCUGGGGGGAAAGCCGGCCCCACAGAGGGGACCCCAGCCUCUCACACAGAGACAGCAAAUGGUAAGCGUUUGUGCGCUUAGACUCAGCUGAAUCAAAUGCAGAACGGGAUGGUUACAUGUUUAAAAGGCAAAAAAAGCAAAUAAAUCCUUCCCUGAAUUUUGUGAUUGAA
Suricata suricatta (meerkat) is the source of this 372-nucleotide long non-coding RNA. RefSeq lists it as uncharacterized. Lineage: Eukaryota; Metazoa; Chordata; Mammalia; Carnivora; Herpestidae. The transcript is spliced from 2 exons. The record is from RefSeq and is a predicted model, not a curated record.